RNAcentral lists this ribosomal RNA (254 nucleotides) under uncultured bacterium. RNAcentral's name for it is "partial 16S ribosomal RNA". It matches the Rfam family "Bacterial small subunit ribosomal RNA", at positions 524 to 776 of the family's 1533-position model. The record is from RNAcentral.
GACGAACCGUGCUAACGUUAUUCGGAAUCACUGGGCUUAAAGCGCGUGUAGGCGGAUGGGGACGUCGGUCGUUGAAAGCCCCCGGCUUAACCGGGGAACUGGCACCGAAACGCCCCGUCUGGAGGGACGUAGGGGGACCUGGAACUUCCGGUGGAGCGGUGAAAUGCGUUGAGAUCGGAAGGAACGCCCGUGGCGAAAGCGAGGUCCUGGACGUUUUCUGACGCUGAGACGCGAAAGCUAGGGGAGCGAACGGG